GACGAACGCUGGCGGCGUGCCUAAUACAUGCAAGUAGAACGCUGAAGGAGGAGCUUGGUUCUCCGCACGAGUUGCGAACGGGUGAGUAACGCGUAGGUAACCUGCCUGGUAGUGGGGGAUAACUAUUGGAAACGAUAGCUAAUACCGCAUAAGAGUAGAUGUUGCAUGACAUUGGCUGAAAAGUUGCAACUGCACCACUACCAGAUGGACCUGCGUUGUAUUAGCUAGUUGGUGAGGUAACGGCACACCAAGGCAACGAUACAUAGCAGACCUGAGAGGGGGAGCGGCCACACUGGGACUGAGACACGGCCCAGACUCCUACGGGAGGCAGCAGUAGGGAAUCUUCGGCAAUAGACGGAAGUCUGACCGAGCAACGCCGCGUGAGUGAAGAAGGUUGUCGGAUCGUAAAGCUCUGUUGUAAGAGAAGAACGAGUGUGAGAGUGGAAAGUUCACACUGUGACGGUAUCUUACCAGAAAGGGACGGCUAACUACGUG
RNAcentral lists this ribosomal RNA (495 nucleotides) under uncultured bacterium. Its description in RNAcentral is "partial 16S ribosomal RNA". It matches the Rfam family "Bacterial small subunit ribosomal RNA", at positions 28 to 507 of the family's 1533-position model. The record is from RNAcentral.